GACGAACGCUGGCGGCGUGCUUAACACAUGCAAGUCGAACGGAAAGGCCCUGCUUUUGUGGGGUGCUCGAGUGGCGAACGGGUGAGUAACACGUGAGUAACCUGCCCUUGACUUUGGGAUAACUUCAGGAAACUGGGGCUAAUACCGGAUAGGAGCUCCUGCUGCAUGGUGGGGGUUGGAAAGUUUCGGCGGUUGGGGAUGGACUCGCGGCUUAUCAGCUUGUUGGUGGGGUAGUGGCUUACCAAGGCUUUGACGGGUAGCCGGCCUGAGAGGGUGACCGGCCACAUUGGGACUGAGAUACGGCCCAGACUCCUACGGGAGGCAGCAGUGGGGAAUAUUGCACAAUGGGCGGAAGCCUGAUGAAGCAACGCCGCGUGCGGGAUGACGGCCUUAGGGUUGUAAACCGCUUUCGCCUGUGACGAAGCGUGAGUGACGGUAAUGGGUAAAGAAGCAACGGCUAACUACGUG
This 468-nucleotide ribosomal RNA is filed under the name uncultured bacterium. RNAcentral's name for it is "partial 16S ribosomal RNA". It matches the Rfam family "Bacterial small subunit ribosomal RNA", at positions 28 to 507 of the family's 1533-position model. The record is from RNAcentral.